Molecule: long non-coding RNA, 2585 nt
Organism: Cyprinus carpio carpio
Lineage: Eukaryota; Metazoa; Chordata; Actinopteri; Cypriniformes; Cyprinidae
Source: Ensembl
AAAAAUUCCCAAGAGAAUAAAGAAAUUAACAAAACAGAAAUAAACAAAAUGAAAUACACACUGGGCUCAAAAGAAAUGAACAAUCAAAUAAUAAAUUUAGACAAUUUAAAUCAUCCAGCCUUCCACACUGAGUACAUAUAGGGCAAUAUAAAAGGCCCUAUAUGUACAGAUAUCAAAGUCCCGCACUACAGCAGGAAUCCUCCAACGCACAAGCACCUCAGCCAGGUUAAAUGGACAGGGCCAGCGCGAGCACUGAACCGAAUCGGAACCAGAAGUUGUUAAAAGAAACUGGAAAAAUGCAGCCAAAUGCCACACCGAAGCAGAGCCAUAAACGAUGUACAUGAUAGUGUGGCAGCCAGGAGCAGGCAGCAACAGACUGCUGCAAUGAAAAACAAACAACUAGUUCCCACAGUAUGGUUAAAUUUUGCUCUAUAAUUCUUACACGUACCCGAGUAAGCAGUCUGACCAAACACAGGUCGCAACAUAAACCAGUUGACGUCAUACGGCUAUAAGUGAUACAAAAAAUACAAAACACUAACAUUAGCACGACAAGAGUAGAAAGAUUCUAAAAGUCACAUUACUCUAAUGCUUACCUUUCAGAUAAAUGCACAAAAAGAACCCUAAGUGAGCCAUGACCAAGUUAGCCACACUGCUAACAACAGUGUAAACGCUGGUAGCAGAAAGGGGCGGGGCACCUGAGAGCAACACAUCCAAGUGACGCAACUCCACCCUUUAUACGCUCACCCAUAACUCCUGAUAGGCUAACAAUCCUAACAAUCAAUAUAGGAGGAUCUAACCAUCCUGCCACAAAUAGAAAGAUAAAGAGAACAUCACUGAUAGUAAAUCAAUAUUUUGGAAUGAUUUCUGAAGGAUUAUGUGACACUGAAGACUGGAGUAAAGGCUGAUGGGCUGAUCUCGGCUGGAAACUGUUGUACGUGCAGCAGGUCCACACUCGUUGUAAUUGUGUGUAUUUCCCUUUGGCCUGAGCUCGUUUUGUCACAGGCGGGCCGUUGCUAGUGCUAGAUUAAGGAAAUCCACCACCGGAGAAACAGAUUUUGCAUUUAAAUCCUGACACAAAUCUACAAUAUGUGCAUGAGACAGUGUUGUUGUUCUUCUGUUGUCUGACAGCUUUUAGGUGCAUUAUGGGCUAGGUGCAUAUCUCCACCAUCUUGGAUUUCCGAUCUAGCGAGUGUGUGCAUAGAUACAGUACUUCCGGUUGUGCCAGUGCAGAGUACCGGAGAAAUCCAGAUAUUUCCUUCUAUAUGUAUACAGGAUUUAUAAUAUCACUUAAAAUGCAAAUAACAUCUACACCGCUUAUAUUACUAUACUAUAAAUGUUAACUGAGUGCGUUUGAAACUUACGUAUGUUUGGGUCCAUGAAUGUAUGAAAUACCUACAGUUCACAAAAUGAAAGUUGAACAAGGUGUGUAUACCCCUUACCAGUUAUGUAAAUGUACAAAUUAUUUAUUUCUCGAAAAUGUUUUUAUUACAUUAUUAUUAUUAUUAUUUGUAAUUAAAUAUUUACCUUGUGAGACAUGAGCUGUGAUUUAUCUUAAUAAAUAUCCAUUUCUUAAUUGUGUACAUACAUCAGUUUGUUCCAUCAUUAUUUUCACAACAAAUUUUUAUAUUUUACUAAGUUAACUUCGCAUCAAACAUAUUUUCAAAUGAAAAAAAUGGCUGUAAAAGGAUACAACUAAUACAUGACAAAUUCAAAGAUUUGCUUUAUCUAAUAAUUAAUGCAAAAGAAAUUGUAAAAAUUUACAUGCGCUGCUUAUAGACAGAUAAUUAUUUAUGCAGCAUCUUUCACAAAAUAGAUAUUAAUAAAACCAAACAGGUAGCCUAAUGCAAACACAGAUCUUUUAAUUAAUGCCAACCUACCAUAAUUACAUUGUUAAAUUGUACAGAUAGUUAUAAAUUAUGUUAUCAAACGAAGCUAAUAAAACAUACAUGCAGAAAUCUCUGAGCGUAUCGAAAUGAUCAUUUGACAGUCGCAAACCUUAUAAUCUUAUAAAUAGCAGACAGAACAAAAUCAACUCUCCGAAAAUGUACAGUAUUGCAGAUUUGAGUUGUUUGUGUUUUAAUUUAGAGAUCCCCAUUGACUGACUAAGCACUGAUGCUGAGCCUCAUAAUCAGCAGAAGAAAGAAUGAAGCAUUCUUGAUCCGCGUUGUAUCUUAAUGAAUUUCCACACAGAUGCACGCAGUAAUGUAAGGAGGAUGUUUUCUCUUAUCUUUGAUAUACCACUAUCUACAUUUUUAAUUUGAAAAACAUUCAUUAUUUCUAUCUAGCCAAGUUUUGUAUGUAAGUUUUCCCUUACAGUAAAUGAGAACGUCGCAAGACCAGAAGUAAGUAUGCACACACUUGUUGCUGAAGCCCACCGUCGCCAUCUUGUGCACCGAUCAAAAAAGUCACUCCCCCAGUUUAUCUUGCUCGAAAUUAAAGGUCAAUAGUACAAAAAAUGGAGCCUGUCCUCCAACAAAAAACGACCAUAUAGGUCAUUUGUGCAAGCACCUUAUUACGACCUAUAUUUACGUUUUAACGUUAAGCGGCCUCAUGCGGGCAUAAAAAUAAUGACAGUAUCGCGUUGC